GAUAAACGCUGGCGGCGUGCCUAACACAUGCAAGUCGAACGAUCCCGCAAGGGAGAGUGGCGGAAGGGUGAGUAACACGUGGAAUCUACCUCCUCGCAGGGAACAACCUCUCGAAAGAGAGGCUAAUACCCAAAGGGUCAGAAAUGAUCAGAGUCGAAAGGCGUGAGGAGAGGAGCCCGCGGCCCAUCAGCUAGUUGGUGAGGUAAUGGCUUACCAAGGCUACGACGGGUAGGGGAUCUGAGAGGAUGUCCCCCACACUGGAACUGAAACACGGUCCAGACGCCUACGGGGUGGCAGCAGUGAGGAAUAUUGGACAAUGGGCGAAAGCCCGAUCCAGCAACGCCGCGUGGAGGAUGAAGGCCUUCGGGUCGUAAACUUACUUUAGAGGGAGGACGAGAAAGGACGGGUAUCCCUAGAAUAAGCG
This 424-nucleotide ribosomal RNA is filed under the name uncultured bacterium. RNAcentral describes it as "bacterial SSU rRNA". It matches the Rfam family "Bacterial small subunit ribosomal RNA", at positions 28 to 492 of the family's 1533-position model. The record is from RNAcentral.